RNAcentral lists this ribosomal RNA (440 nucleotides) under uncultured bacterium. Its description in RNAcentral is "bacterial SSU rRNA". It matches the Rfam family "Bacterial small subunit ribosomal RNA", at positions 958 to 1397 of the family's 1533-position model. The record is from RNAcentral.
AACGCGAAGAACCUUACCAGCCCUUGACAUGUCCGGGAUCGGUCGCAGAGACGUGACCUUCUCUUCGGAGCCCGGAACACAGGUGCUGCAUGGCUGUCGUCAGCUCGUGUCGUGAGAUGUUGGGUUAAGUCCCGCAACGAGCGCAACCCUUGUUACCAGUUGCUACCAUUUAGUUGAGCACUCUGGUGAGACCGCCUCGGAUAACGGGGAGGAAGGCGGGGAUGACGUCAAGUCCUCAUGGCCUUUAUGUCCAGGGCUACACACGUGCUACAAUGGCCGGUACAAACCGUCGCAAACCCGUGAGGGGGAGCUAAUCGGAAAAAGCCGGCCUCAGUUCGGAUUGGAGUCUGCAACUCGACUCCAUGAAGCUGGAAUCGCUAGUAAUCGCGGAUCAGAAUGCCGCGGUGAAUACGUUCCCGGGCCUUGUACACACCGGCUAC